CCUGGUGGCUCAGAUGGUAAAGCGUCUGCCUACAAUGCAGGAGACCCAGGUUCAAUCCCUGGGUCAGGA
This is a non-coding RNA of Bos taurus (domestic cattle), 69 nucleotides long. NCBI's taxonomy places the organism in Eukaryota, Metazoa, Chordata, Mammalia, Artiodactyla, Bovidae. The record is from Rfam.